Molecule: long non-coding RNA, 1579 nt
Filed under: Homo sapiens (human)
Lineage: Eukaryota; Metazoa; Chordata; Mammalia; Primates; Hominidae
Description: LHRI_LNC1928.1
Source: RNAcentral
UCACAUUCCAAAGUUACAUUCAACUAAAAGCCGUUGAGUAGAGGAAUGUAGUUAUCUGUGUCUGGAAUUGGAAGUAUAAUUGGGAAUGUGCUGAAGAGGAAGGCCAAGACACACUGGUGAUACUGAAGUCAAAACAGUAUUGAAGGGGUGAAAGUCAUGAAUAAACUGCACUAUCCUUCAGAGUGUAGGUAAAGUAAUUAGCUUAAGAAAGGAUCCCUAAGUCCCAGGCCUCUGUACAAAGAUGUGAAGAAAUACAGCAAGCGUGUGAAGUUUUUUAAAAUUAAGAGUUUCUCAAUCACGAAGAAUGUGGCUUAACUCCUCAAGUCUGUGGGUUUGGGAGACUGGCCAGCACCAAGCAUCUGACACACACCUGAUGAGUCAAUGAACCAUCUCUCCAGGGUAACAUCUUCCCCUUCACAGGUACCCAAGAGCCAGAGACCAGAGCUCUGUCCCCUAAUGUGGAGGUGACUUCUUCAUAAGAGGACAUGGGGUAGAGUGUCAAGUAUUCAAAACUCUGGAACUAGAUUGGCAUUCGGGUGGAUCUCGACCCUGCCACUUAAAAAGGCAAGUGACACACAGAAGGGAAGCAACUUAUCCAAGAUCUCAAUUGUUAGUGGAAGAAGCUGGCUGUCAACCGAAGUCAGUGUGAGAUGACCUCAGUGCUUUCUUAUCCAGGUCAGGAAACACUGGGAGAUUGAAUUUAAAUUUGAAGGUUGUUUGGUAAAUAUGGAAUCAGAGAAAUCAAAAUCACAUGGCCUCAAAAGAUGAUACUUUUGUCAAGCUAUGAAGCCUGGCUCUUUUAACAUUGAAGAUAUAAAGAUAAACAAGAUAGACAUAAAGUGUCUGGCCUCAUGAAGUUCUGCUAGAAGAGAGAAGCAUAUACAAAUAAAAUAAUAAAAAGGUAGUUAAAAAUGUGAUACCAGAUCUGUGAAGAAAAUGAAAGGGAUAUUGUGUUAAUAAAUUGCAGUAGGAAGAUCAUUCUUGAAUGAUCCAGACACAUCAUGAGCUUUUCAUCCUGACGAGAUUAGUGAAAAAGCCCAAGAAAGAAGAUGACCAAGAAGGAAACAAAAAGGGUUUGAUGUUUUAAGGAACAGAAUGAAGCCCUGUGAAUGAUAUAAAAUGAGAUGGGAGACCAGGCAAGAAAUCUACUUAUGUGAGUAAAUGGAGAUCAUGGUUUGGAGUUUGGAUUUUACUCUAACCAAAACAGGAAUUCAUUAAAAUUGGAUAUCCAUAAGCAGAAGAAGGAAACAGGGCUCCUACCUCUCAUCACAUACAAAAAAUCAAAUAAAAAGGGACGGAAGACUUAAAUAUAAGACCCAAAACUAUGAAACUACUAGAAGAAAACAUAAGGGAAACACUUCAGGCCAUUGGUCAGGGGAAAGCUUUUAUGAAGAAGACCUCAAAAACACAGAAAACAAAAAUAGACAAAUGAGAUUAUAUCAAACUGAAAAGCUUCUGCACAACAAAGGAAAUAAUCAACAAAGUGAAGAGACAACACACAGAAUGGGAGAAAACAUUUGCAAACUAUUCAUCCGACAGGGGUUAAAAACCAGACUAUACAAGAAACAAACAACUCAAC